GUCCUGGCAAGGCAAGUUUAUUUGUAGAGCACAAUUCAUACACAAGGCAAUUCAAAGUGCUUCACAGCUGCAUAAAAUUACAAGAAAACAGAUCAAUCAAUAAAACAUAAAAUUAAUUUCAAUCAACAGUAAUUACUUUUAAGGGGAGUACAGUUUAGACUUGAGGCAGUUAUGUGAAUGUGAAUCUAUAUUUGAUGUUUUCUAUUUGCUUUUUCAUAUAAUCGUUCCUCUUCUGUGUUAGAAACGCAUGCAGCAGAUAGUGACCCAGUGCUUUCUGUCGGUCAAAUCCAAGCUGGACUGCAGACCGGGCUUCUUCGACCUGAUCGGCUGUGACUUCAUGAUCGAUGAGGACUUUAACGUAGGCGCUGAGAUAAUAUUCCUUUUUAUUUACCUAUUGUCUCUUGUGUGUAAUCUGUUUGCGGUGUUUUCAGGUGUGGCUGCUGGAGAUGAACUGUAACCCUGCUCUCCAUACAAACUGCUCAGUGCUGGAGGAGGUCAUCCCCAGCACUGUCCACGAGACGCUGGGGCCGAGUUGCGGUGUGAUCCCGGUUUUAGCGCGGGUGUCUGAGUGGGGCGAGCCCUGAGGCAGAUGGUGCUCAGUCUGCAGACAGGAGGAGCACAGGGACGGUCAUGGGGUGCUGCAGCGUGACCCAGCGGCACUGCAGCGGGGUCGAUGAAGUGGGGCCUGAUGAGAUCGAGCUGCUGGAGCUGCCCGUGGACAACCUGGGAGUAUGGAGUGUAGGAGAGAGCCGUCUACAGCUGAGGUCCAGCAGAGAUGAGCCCCCACUGUCUCCUCCAGCCCGCCCCCGUCCUCGAUAUCCUUCUGUCCCACAGCUGACAAAAGAG
This 846-nucleotide long non-coding RNA is filed under the name Neogobius melanostomus (round goby). RNAcentral describes it as "lncRNA (ENSNMLG00000013210.1)". Lineage: Eukaryota; Metazoa; Chordata; Actinopteri; Gobiiformes; Gobiidae. The record is from RNAcentral.